UUAGAAAGCAUAUUGUAUACCUCCUGCUUACCUCAAUUUAAAAUUGACACCAUUUGAUAUGAAGAUCUGACUUCCAUGAUCAUCAUACUAAAAUUUUACCUCGAUCCGAUAUCAUUUCACCAUUGAUCUACACCUUUACACUAAAUGAUUUCUCACGUCCCUCAUUUCUUUUCUCUCUGUCCGUGUCUCUUUUUCUUUCUU
RNAcentral lists this long non-coding RNA (201 nucleotides) under Actinidia chinensis (golden kiwifruit). Its description in RNAcentral is "long non-coding RNA (ACHI_LNC008125)". Lineage: Eukaryota; Viridiplantae; Streptophyta; Magnoliopsida; Ericales; Actinidiaceae. The record is from RNAcentral.